This 816-nucleotide ribosomal RNA is filed under the name Boeremia linicola. RNAcentral's name for it is "partial large subunit ribosomal RNA". It matches the Rfam family "Eukaryotic large subunit ribosomal RNA", at positions 77 to 911 of the family's 3401-position model. Lineage: Eukaryota; Fungi; Ascomycota; Dothideomycetes; Pleosporales; Didymellaceae. The record is from RNAcentral.
GCCCUAGUAACGGCGAGUGAAGCGGCAACAGCUCAAAUUUGAAAUCUGGCGUCUUUGGCGUCCGAGUUGUAAUUUGCAGAGGGCGCUUUGGCAUUGGCAGCGGUCCAAGUUCCUUGGAACAGGACGUCACAGAGGGUGAGAAUCCCGUACGUGGUCGCUAGCCUUUACCGUGUAAAGCCCCUUCGACGAGUCGAGUUGUUUGGGAAUGCAGCUCUAAAUGGGAGGUAAAUUUCUUCUAAAGCUAAAUACUGGCCAGAGACCGAUAGCGCACAAGUAGAGUGAUCGAAAGAUGAAAAGCACUUUGGAAAGAGAGUUAAAAAGCACGUGAAAUUGUUGAAAGGGAAGCGCUUGCAGCCAGACUUGCCUGUAGUUGCUCAUCCGGGUUUUUACCCGGUGCACUCUUCUAUAGGCAGGCCAGCAUCAGUUUGGGCGGUUGGAUAAAGGUCUCUGUCACGUACCUCCUCUCGGGGAGAACUUAUAGGGGAGACGUAAUGCAACCAGCCUGGACUGAGGUCCGCGCAUCUGCUAGGAUGCUGGCGUAAUGGCUGUAAGCGGCCCGUCUUGAAACACGGACCAAGGAGUCUAACAUCUAUGCGAGUGUUUGGGUGUCAAGCCCGAGCGCGUAAUGAAAGUGAACGGAGGUGGGAACCUUUCGGGGUGCACCAUCGACCGAUCCUGAUGUCUUCGGAUGGAUUUGAGUAAGAGCAUAGCUGUUGGGACCCGAAAGAUGGUGAACUAUGCUUGAAUAGGGUGAAGCCAGAGGAAACUCUGGUGGAGGCUCGCAGCGGUUCUGACGUGCAAAUCGAUCGUCAAAUU